CACUGAUUGGUGACUGUACAGACUUCACGUUAUAAACAUGCAGACAGUAGGAGCAGGGGGUGUUGUGUGGGAGAAAGAUCUUAAUACAUCAGAUUAAAGAAUUAGAAACUAACCGGGAUAGGGAAGAUGGUUGAUUUGGGAACUAAGUGCCAGAAGCAAGAGCAUGAAAGUAGGUCACUGCAGCACAGGAAGGGCCUUGUACAGCAGAAAACAACCACAAAGCCACUGGGGAUGGAGCUGCAUGAGGAAUGCAGAGUCAUGCUGUGGUUUCGAAGCUGCCUCUGCAUGAUGAGCAACACGGUUCAGCAGAUCCCAACUCUGGAGCCUGAAAUGUCGCCCAUGGAGGUGCUGAGUGGACGUUUCUGCAGCCAAGCUCCAGGAACGUGCCGAAGUCCUGCUGCAGGAGGAUGGCAUCUACCAUUCCCGGGGAAGCUGACUGCAAUUCCCGAUCACUUGGAACCUGUGGGUACCCACAAAAGGCAGCGACUUCUGAGACCCUCCGCCCACUGAGGAUGCAGCCUGUCAGAAAGGAUGUGAGAGCAGGGCAGCGUGGGAGGGACCCACCAGCUGGGUGCGAGGUGGGGAGUGUGCCACUGCCUUUCAAUGGGCAUUGUAGUGAUGAAUGGAUGCUGAAGGUGGGUAAGGAGGUCUCCUCCUCUGCAACAUUCCUCUUUCCUCAUCAGGAAGGAAGGCAAAGAGACUUGGCUAGUGGUAAAGAUGUUCAACUGGGUUUGGAGCUUUUUUUUUUUUUCUUUUUGUUUUGUUUUUAAUAUGAGGCUGGCUUCUUUUUUUGUCUUUAUCUCCAAAGGAGUAAAAUUGCUUUUCCUGGCUGUAGAAAGAUGCUUCAGGAAUUUAAUGCAAUAGGGUCAUAUUCUGGCUAUCAAUAUUAAUGCUUUAAUCCUGGAUUUGGAAGUGCUUUCUAGAAUGAAACUAGAAAAUUCUGCACUUUUUGAAGAGUAUUAAUAAUACAGGAGGAGCAAAAUGUAUCCCAUUUGAGCUAUAUAUGUGGAAAGCUCCUAUUGAAACAAGUGUGUCUGAGAUGAUUUAAAGAUCCUGAAAGAAAUCCUGUAUAGGUUAUCUGUAGAUUUAUUGUUAAUUGCUAUCAAAUAGGUACCUGAGGAGCUAAAGAGUUUUAUUUUUGCAAUUGCUGUCCUCUCCAAAAUGAAGAUGGAUUGGAUUGAAGGCAGUGGAAGAGUAAAAAUAGAAUUAUUAUGU
This 1215-nucleotide long non-coding RNA is filed under the name Numida meleagris (helmeted guineafowl). Its description in RNAcentral is "lncRNA (ENSNMEG00000014035.1)". The record is from RNAcentral. Lineage: Eukaryota; Metazoa; Chordata; Aves; Galliformes; Numididae.